CACUGCAACUAAAACUACUCUUUAUUUUGCAGUGUCUCAGACUAUCUGGAUAUCAGAUGGAUGCCAUUCUGUGCACAUGUUCACUGCAAUGGACAUAGAAAAUGCUUUAAAUGAAACGGACGGAAAUGAUUCCAAUGAAAAGCUUUUACGUCUCCCAGUUGUACGAGUUCUUUUCUCUAGUGAGAAGAUCCAAGACAUCAUUUCUCUAUCUGCAAAUUCCGUUCUGAUUCUUGGACAAGGAAGCUUAUAUGCAUAUGCAAUUUCCUGAAGCUGCUUUGAGUUUUUAAUCUUUUUCAGUGGAAAUCAAUAUAUCUGGCACCCUUGAUGUUUCUAAAGUAUACUUGUGUGGUUCAUCGAUAAAUCAUCUCUCUCGUGGUGCUCUGGUUGCCCUCUCCUUAUAGCGCAUCCCUUUGAUACUGGAGACCAUGAAAGAUUGGCAGCAAGCGUCAUUAUGGAGUUUCUGUUUUUGGGGCUGAGGUUUUCAAGAUCUUAAAGCUGCCUGUCCCGCAAAACCUGCCAGUUAACUGCCGGAGGACAUACGUCCUACAAAGAUGUUGGCUCUUCAUCCAACUUGCUUGAUGCUCAUCUCUUGGAGUUGGUUGAAAACAUGGUUUUCUGCCAGAGAACUUAGCAAGGUUCGAUAUAAAAGGCAUGAUCUUGGCAAUUGUGUUUUCUCCGUUUGUUAGAAAAGUGUUUUCUGGAUUUCAAUUUUCUCAUUCUAGUUACGUCUAUGGUUUACUACUAUGCGAGUUUGUGGAGUUGGAGGCUUGUCUUGUUAUUUAUGCUACGUUAACUUUAUAGCCUGUCAUGUUUUGCUCUCUUAA
Vigna umbellata (rice bean) is the source of this 824-nucleotide non-coding RNA. Lineage: Eukaryota; Viridiplantae; Streptophyta; Magnoliopsida; Fabales; Fabaceae. The record is from RefSeq and is a predicted model, not a curated record.